GACGAACGCUGGCGGCGUGCUUAACACAUGCAAGUCGAGCGGAAAGGCCACUUCGGUGGUACUCGAGCGGCGAACGGGUGAGUAACACGUGAGUAAUCUGCCCCUCACUUUGGGAUAGCCACCGGAAACGGUGAUUAAUACCGGAUAUGACCAUAUGUCGCAUGGCGUGUGAUGGAAAGUUUUUCGGUGAGGGAUGUGCUCGCGGCCUAUCAGCUUGAUGGUGAGGUAAUGGCUCACCAUGGCUUCGACGGGUAGCCGGCCUGAGAGGGUGACCGGUCACACUGGGACUGAGACACGGCCCAGACUCCUACGGGAGGCAGCAGUGGGGAAUAUUGGACAAUGGGCGGAAGCCUGAUCCAGCAACGCCGCGUGAGGGAUGACGGCCUUCGGGUUGUAAACCUCUUUCAGUACCGACGAAGCGCAAGUGACGGUAGGUACAGAAGAAGCACCGGCCAACUACGUG
Molecule: ribosomal RNA, 463 nt
Filed under: uncultured bacterium
Lineage: Bacteria
Description: partial 16S ribosomal RNA
Rfam family: Bacterial small subunit ribosomal RNA
Source: RNAcentral